UAGGGAAUCUUCGGCAAUGGACGAAAGUCUGACCGAGCAACGCCGCGUGAGUGAAGAAGGUUUUCGGAUCGUAAAACUCUGUUGUUAGAGAAGAACAAGGACGUUAGUAACUGAACGUCCCCUGACGGUAUCUAACCAGAAAGCCACGGCUAACUACGUGCCAGCAGCCGCGGUAAUACGGAGGUGGCAAGCGUUGUCCGGAAUUACUGGGCGUAAAGCGCACGCAGGCGGUUGAUUGAGUCAGAUGUGAAAUCCCCGGGCUUAACCCGGGAAUUGCAUCUGAUACUGGUCAGCUAGAGUCUUGUAGAGGGGGGUAGAAUUCCAUGUGUAGCGGUGAAAUGCGUAGAGAUGUGGAGGAAUACCGGUGGCGAAGGCGGCCCCCUGGACAAAGACUGACGCUCAGGUGCGAAAGCGUGGGGAGCAAACAGG
Molecule: ribosomal RNA, 429 nt
Filed under: Chloroflexota bacterium
Lineage: Bacteria; Bacillati; Chloroflexota
Description: Chloroflexi bacterium partial 16S ribosomal RNA
Rfam family: Bacterial small subunit ribosomal RNA
Source: RNAcentral